This 2706-nucleotide long non-coding RNA is filed under the name Equus caballus (horse). RNAcentral's name for it is "lncRNA (ENSECAG00000047858.1)". Lineage: Eukaryota; Metazoa; Chordata; Mammalia; Perissodactyla; Equidae. The record is from RNAcentral.
CGUGAGUGGGAGCCCGUAGCCUUUCCUUUUCCAGACCCGGGCUCCCCCCGCACAGCUGGUUCCCAUUAGAGCAGGGCUCAGCGCCCCUGCUUCCACGAGCUCAUCAGGCAAUGCGGAAACCCAAGCCGUCACUCAUCUCACAUUCCAGCCCUGAGCAGGAGAGCAGCCAGUUCCUGCCUCGUCCGCCCUGACCCUCACUCCGCCAGCUCUUGGGACCUACCUGCGAGAAGGAGAGGCAGCAGCUGCCCAGGACCCCCAGCAGCCCACCUGGUCCAUUACAUGGGUCAGAGCAGGCCAUGAGGGGAAGGCCAGGAGUGGCAUUGCCCUCCUCCUGCAGCUCAGACCAGGACGUCCCAUGCCAGCUGCUCCACCUGUGGGUCCAGCAAGCACCCUCCAGCAUCUGGGAGCUGGAGUCUGGAUUCUGCCAAGAGGAAAUGGGGUUCACGGGGCCUCCUGGACCCUGAGCCUGGCCUCUCCUGCCACCUCUGCCCCAGGAAGCUCCAGCAUGUUGUCCCAAGCCGAGGCCUUGCCUGCUACCCUCUACCAGACCAUCACGUCCCAGUGGCUCAACAAUGUUCCGUGGAUGUCCAGGCUGCAUGGGCUGCCGCACCUCACCCAGGGCUGGUCCACCCCACCAGGGCUGUUCCACCCUACCAGGGCUGCUCCACCCCAUCAGGGCUGCUCCACCCAGCCACCAGGGCUUCUCCACCCCACCCAGGGCUGCUCCACCUCACUGGGGCUGCUCCAUCAAGCCACCAGGGCUGCUCCACCACACAGGGCUGCUCCAGCCAGCCACCAGGGCUUCUCCACCCCACCCAGGGCUGCUCCACCUCACUGGAGCUGCUCCAUCAAGCCACCAGGGCCACUCCACCACACAGGGCUGCUCCACCCCACCAGGGCUGCUCCACUCCACCCAGGGCUUCUCCACCCAGCCACCAGGGCUGCUCCACCACACAGGGCUGCUCCACCCAGGCGCCAGGGCUUCUCCACCCCACCAGGGCUGCUCCACCACACUGAGGCUGCCAGUGAGGCCCUACGUGCAUCUGAGGUGGAGCCUCCAGCUCAUUCAUCAAAAACUUUUGGGGCCGGGCCAGGAGCCCUCCCCACGACAACAGACAGGUCGGCAGCCACCCCUUCCUGCCCUCCACACACGGUGGGCCAGCUGCUAGGAGAGGCCCCGUGCUCUGCAGCAGCCAGGCACCAGCUCUCCAGCCCAUCCCCUCUGCCUCAACACCCUCCCUCCGCCCAAGUCCAAGGCCCCAGCCAGCCGCCAUGACCUGGCCCAGGAUGCUGGGUCCCUCUGCCCCACCAAGACCACUGGCUCACUGUUGCCCCUUCCAGGGGCCAGGAGGGCAGGGUCCAGGUGUGCAGACUCAGGGGUGAGUGUGCUCAGCAAACAAACAGCAAAGACUUUCUCCUGCGCAGAGCUGAUCCUGCCCUCCCAGUGCCACAUGGAGAGCAGGCUGCGUGAGGACAGGCACAGCCUGGUCUGCGAUUUAGUCAUCUAGCACACCAGCCCCAGCCGUAAGCAUGCACAUGGUGCCCGGCGCUCUCUCCAAAAUAAGACACUGGUCAGGGUUGGGAGCCAAGUGCAGAGUCCUCCAUAGGGACAGCUGAUGUUCUUGCGCAGGACUGUGCCUGUCCCAGGCACCAGGGCCUCUUCCUCACAGGAAGGGUCUCCUCUCCCCAGGACCCCGCUCCAGGCUUCUGCUUCCUGCUGCCUCGCCCCCACCACCAUGAGACACUCUGUUCAGAGACAGAUCCAAGGUGGGGGCUUCAAGGUUUAGGGCAAUAAAACACAAUUUCUUCCUGGUACAUGCCUCGGGAGCCCGCCCCAUGCCGUCCAACUGGCCUCAUGCAGCCACAGCCCUAAACGGGUUUUGGGGCCAACCAUGCCCCAGACAUGCUCUUACAGGUGCAAAAGCUGUCCAUUUGACCACUGGUGGGCCCCCUGGAAGAGUGGGUCUCACCGGAGCACCCAGGCCCUAAUUGGCAUUCCAGUGUCCCCUCAGCCUGUUUGGGUCUUGCCCUGGAGCAAACAGCCUGUCCUCCUCUCAGGCCUGCAGGCUUCCAUGAAGAGCCGGUCAGCAGUGGGACUGCAAAACACAGACCACAGCCUUCUCUCUGCUCCCGACAGUGGGUACCCUCUAGCACAUGAUCACUUCCCUCCAGUUCCAGUGGCUCUGUGCAAGGAGAGAGAAGACCCAAGUCUUGGCCAGACACUGUGAGCACCUCUGACUCAGUCUCCCAGAGCCUCCACGGACAUUUCUGGAUAGGAUCCCAGGCACUGGGGAGGUGGGGUUUGCUCCCCACAGUCCGUCAGUCCAUCCUGAGAUCCUGAGGCAGUGGGUUCACUCCCCGCAGUAUGUCAGUUCAUCCUGAGACCCUGGGGAGGUAGGCUUUCCUCCCUGCAGUCUGUCCGUCCAUCCUGAGAUUGUGGGGAGGUGGGCUUUCCUCCCUGCAGUGUCAGUCCCUCCUGAGAUCCUGGGGAAGUGGGCUUCGCUUCCUGCAGUCUGUCAGUCCAUCCUGAGAUCGUGGGGACAUGGGCUUCACUCCCUACAGUCUGUCAGUCCAUCCUGAGAUCGUGGGGACGUGGGCUUCACUCCCUGCAGUCUGUCAGUCUAUUCUGAGAUCGUGAGGAGGUGGGCCUCACUCCCCUCCCUCUGUCAGUCCAUCUUGAUAUCUGUCCACAGCGCUCAGCCCUGG